GAUGAACGCUGGCGGCGUGCCUAAUACAUGCAAGUCGAGCGAACAGAUGAGGAGCUUGCUCCUCUGACGUUAGCGGCGGACGGGUGAGUAACACGUGGAUAACCUACCUAUAAGACUGGGAUAACUUCGGGAAACCGGAGCUAAUACCGGAUAAUAUAUUGAACCGCAUGGUUCAAUAGUGAAAGACGGUUUUGCUGUCACUUAUAGAUGGAUCCGCGCCGCAUUAGCUAGUUGGUAAGGUAACGGCUUACCAAGGCAACGAUGCGUAGCCGACCUGAGAGGGUGAUCGGCCACACUGGAACUGAGACACGGUCCAGACUCCUACGGGAGGCAGCAGUAGGGAAUCUGCCGCAAUGGGCGAAAGCCUGACGGAGCAACGCCGCGUGAGUGAUGAAGGUCUGCGGAUCGUAAAACUCUGUUAUUAGGGAAGAACAAAUGUGUAAGUAACGAUGCACGUCUUGACGGUACCUAAUCAGAAAGCCACGGCUAACUACGU
This 496-nucleotide ribosomal RNA is filed under the name uncultured bacterium. RNAcentral describes it as "partial 16S ribosomal RNA". It matches the Rfam family "Bacterial small subunit ribosomal RNA", at positions 28 to 506 of the family's 1533-position model. The record is from RNAcentral.